UACGUAGGGGGCAAGCGUUAUCCGGAUUUACUGGGUGUAAAGGGAGCGUGGACGGAGGAGCAAGUCUGAUGUGAAAAUCCGGGGCCCAACCCCGGAACUGCAUUGGAAACUGUUUAUCUAGAGUGUCGGAGAGGCAAGUGGAAUUCCUAGUGUAGCGGUGAAAUGCGUAGAUAUUAGGAGGAACACCAGUGGCGAAGGCGGCUUGCUGGACGAUGACUGACGUUGAGGCUCGAAAGCGUGGGGAGCAAACAGG
RNAcentral lists this ribosomal RNA (253 nucleotides) under uncultured bacterium. RNAcentral's name for it is "partial 16S ribosomal RNA". It matches the Rfam family "Bacterial small subunit ribosomal RNA", at positions 524 to 776 of the family's 1533-position model. The record is from RNAcentral.